UACGUAGGGUGCAAGCGUUGUCCGGAAUUAUUGGGCGUAAAGAGCUCGUGGGCGGUCUGUCGCGUCGGCUGUGAAAUCCCGAGGCUCAACCUCGGGUCUGCAGUCGAUACGGGCAAACUAGAGUAUUGCAGGGGAGACUGGAAUUCCUGGUGUAGCGGUGAAAUGCGCAGAUAUCAGGAGGAACACCGGUGGCGAAGGCGGGUCUCUGGGCAAUAACUGACGCUGAGGAGCGAAAGCGUGGGGAGCGAACAGG
Molecule: ribosomal RNA, 253 nt
Filed under: uncultured bacterium
Lineage: Bacteria
Description: partial 16S ribosomal RNA
Rfam family: Bacterial small subunit ribosomal RNA
Source: RNAcentral